Molecule: long non-coding RNA, 589 nt
Organism: Malaclemys terrapin pileata
Lineage: Eukaryota; Metazoa; Chordata; Testudines; Emydidae
Exons: 4
Source: RefSeq, a predicted model, not a curated record
AAUCGAUCCCCGAAUCGAUGCGCGUACUCCACCAGCCCAGGUAGGCGUAAGCGCCGUCGACAGGGGAGCCACAGCGGUCGAUUUGCCACCGUCCUCACAGCGGGCUAGUAGUAGGGGAAAAAGUGAACUCAGCUCAGCAACCUGUAACUAGACUCCUAAUGGAAUCAAAGUUAGCUCUGACAUUCAACAGUGGAGAGAGAAGGAGAAGGUACAAUUCGUGUUUCAUGCUCUGAAAAGGCACCCACACCACCAGACUAACACGGCUGUUACUCUGAAACCAGGCAGAGGUUGACUCCUUGGGCAGAGAGAGGAGUGUUUGGAGGCUACUGGUUCCUAUUGAUUUUGGGUAGAUGAGAGAAUGACCAACCUGUGGCAGAGACCAAAAGGAGCAGCCACCCUGAGAUCAUCUGGGGAGAUGGAAACCAGACAGUGAUCUGUGGAGUCAGAGCAUAUAGAAAUUUGCUUAAGUUAAGUAUUGAGGGAGGACUGCAAGAACUCUUGUCAGCAUGGGGUGGGUCUCUGAGAAAAGGCCUUUGCGUGUAUGUGAGGCACAAUAAGCUUGGGGGAGUCGUUUGUCCCCUCUCAAGGA